This 532-nucleotide ribosomal RNA is filed under the name uncultured bacterium. RNAcentral's name for it is "bacterial SSU rRNA". It matches the Rfam family "Bacterial small subunit ribosomal RNA", at positions 979 to 1509 of the family's 1533-position model. The record is from RNAcentral.
CCUUGACAUACUAAGAACUUUCCAGAGAUGGAUUGGUGCCUUCGGGAACUUAGAUACAGGUGCUGCAUGGCUGUCGUCAGCUCGUGUCGUGAGAUGUUGGGUUAAGUCCCGNAACGAGCGCAACCCUUUUCCUUAUUUGCCAGCGGGUCAUGCCGGGAACUUUAAGGAUACUGCCAGUGACAAACUGGAGGAAGGCGGGGACGACGUCAAGUCAUCAUGGCCCUUACGGCCAGGGCUACACACGUGCUACAAUGGUCGGUACAAAGGGUUGCUACCUCGCGAGAGGAUGCUAAUCUCAAAAAGCCGAUCGUAGUCCGGAUCGCAGUCUGCAACUCGACUGCGUGAAGUCGGAAUCGCUAGUAAUCGCGGAUCAGAAUGCCGCGGUCGAAUACGUUCCCGGGCCUUGUACACACCGCCCGUCACACCAUGGGAGUUUGUUGCACCAGAAGUAGGUAGUCUAACCGCAAGGAGGACGCUUACCACGGUGUGGCCGAUGACUGGGGUGAAGUCGUAACAAGGUAGGCGUAGAUGA